UCCUAGCCCUGAUUGUAACGGAAAUCCUUUUUAAUCGCCUUUUCGGCGGAUAAAAAGAUUGAAGUGGAAAGCGGGAAAUAGC
RNAcentral lists this small RNA (82 nucleotides) under Flavobacterium sinopsychrotolerans. Its description in RNAcentral is "Flavo-1 RNA". It matches the Rfam family "Flavo-1 RNA". Lineage: Bacteria; Pseudomonadati; Bacteroidota; Flavobacteriia; Flavobacteriales; Flavobacteriaceae. The record is from RNAcentral.